UGCACUACAGCCUGGAGGACAGAGCAAGACUCCAUCUCAAAAAAAAAAGAAAAGAAAAAAGAAAAUCCCGUGCCUUGUUUGUAGCAAUACUUGGCAAACCGUCUCACAAAUAUGGGUUCUCUACCUGGCCAGUGCCAUGUUGCCUGUUUCUUUACUGUAACUGUGGUGACAAAGAAAAGGGAAGAUGGAGCCUCCAUGUUGAACAUACCUGGCCCCCAGCACUAACUCCCUCUCUGGAUAUCUGGAACAAGGAGGACCUUAAACUUAACAAUAAAGCCAAUGAUGGUUCUACCAGUCUCCCCAAAGCCUCAAGUUUAAAAGCCAUAUGAACUGGCUGAUAGUGGAAAAUGGAAGCCAUGAGGAAAUCAGAUUAGAGUACUACCUGGUGAAGCCUGGAGGACCUACCAAGAAAAGCAAACUUGGAUCUUUGCAAGGUUAGAAGAACGAAUGGGAUCCAAGAAAAAGACUGGUCAUAUUCAACGGCUAAGAGCGUUGGAGAAGGCCUGUGGAGUCUCAGCAGGUCAGGUCCAUGACUCAUGAGUAGACACCUGUGUUUCUACUGCCUGGUGCCAUAAUCAUAAACAAGGAAGAAACUGAGGACAGGAGGGGCCAAACAAGUUACAGUUUCAUCCCUCCAGAGAGCCAACAGAGUAUUUUGCACGAAGUUGAAGCUAAACAGGUAUUAUGUCCUAUCUCUGGACUGAAUGACUAGAUGCUACUCAGCUUCUGAACUAGAGGAAGCCUGGGACCUUGACCGCACUAAUGCUGAUGACAGCGGAUUUGCAAGUGGCUAGAGGUACCAGAUUUAGCAAAUCAAAAUAUAGGACGUCAAGUUAAAUUUAAGUGUAAGAUAAGCUACGAAUACCUUUUCUAGUAUUAGUACGUCCCAUGCAAUAUACUAGAAAUGUUAUUCGUUAUUUAUGUUAAAUUUAAUUUUAUUAGGGCAUCCUAUAUUUUACCUGUCAAUCCAACCCAUGACCUAGGCAGACACUGUAGAAAAACAAAAGGAGAAUUAAGGAGAUAAAUGAAACACAGGGUGAGCUGAAAAGAGGUGCUCUGUGAAUUUGAGGGUCCAGUAGGAGCUGACUUGUAGGUACUUGGUCUGUUUUGAUGCCCACAACAACCUUGGGGAAGGGGCGGAAUAGCAGAGGGGUAAGCUCUCUGCCCCCCACCAGGGUUCUGCAGGACGCCAGGGCUUUUAUCAGCACCCCUAUGUUCACAUCCUGGCUGCACCCUCCUUGGUUGUAUAUACUCUGGAUAAUUCACUUAAUUUAAAUCUUGCUGCUUUUAUAAAAUUGAUAAAAAGUUAAUAGUGACACUGAUCACACUGAUGUCCCUCAAUGAAUUAUCAAUAUGUUUUUUCUUCCCACCUAUAUUCUUUAUUGAACUCUGUUAUUUUUGAUCCUGGUCUAGAGUAAGCAUUAUGACCAUGCAAGAGUGAAAUGAAAUUUUUAAAAAUAAUUUUUUAAUGUUUUCUGAAUGCUGGGUGUUUUCAAUGAUCAUGCAUGACUGGCAGCAAAGAGGAACGAGGAUGGAUUCGAUAAGGUGCAACAAGUCCUGAACACACACAGAGAACUGGCUGUGAAUCCUGUUUCUGCCACUCACCACUUACUUGUUGGUGAAAAUGCUCAGGAUGUUCACUGCAGCCUGCCUCACCCUGGAAAAGAGAUGUGAGGAUAAUGAGAAAGAAGAGUAUGUUCAGUGCGGAGCAUGCAAAUUUGCAUGAAAACUUCCCAGGCAAAGCAGGAAAGAAACCAGACCUCUUUUCUGCACAAUAAUGGGGCCCACUAACUCUGGGGAAAAGAGUAAUCAGCAAAUGCCUUUCCUUUCUCCUGCUGAUGUUUUGCCCGUACUCAGACCCCUUGACUUCUUAGCUUCUACCCAAAGUGAGCUUGUCAUCAAAGUUCUCCAAAAAUCUGCAGUGUUCUCUUGAGCAAAUCUGCUUCCAAGACUAUAGCGCUCUGAUGCAUUGAGAUGACAGCAAGCGGCAUUUUUCAGUCCUGUUACCCAUAUGGCUGCUACCACUGCAUCCUGUUAAAUAAUGUCUUCAACCCAAGAAACCUGCUUCCUAGGGAAGUUUCUCUCUCUCUGCAUUUGUUCCCACUAGAGAAUGACCAUCACCAGAUUCCUGAACUGAAAAUGCUGUUGACACUUUGGAAACUCGGGCCUCUAUUAAUAGGGUGACCAACUAUCCUGGUUUACCUUGAGUACAGGAUUUUCAAUGCUAAAACCAGAAAAACCAGGAUGGUUGGUCAUCUGCCUCAGACCUAAUAAAUACCAGUCAAUAAUUCAGCCAUGA
Molecule: long non-coding RNA, 2299 nt
Filed under: Homo sapiens (human)
Lineage: Eukaryota; Metazoa; Chordata; Mammalia; Primates; Hominidae
Description: HSALNT0361167
Source: RNAcentral